GUGUUCAGAAUGUUCCUAACGAAAAUAACUGCAACUGUUGAUCGUACUUCCUAUGGGUCAUUGGGAUUUUCCCUCGCAGAUAUUUAUUGGGUCAUUCAUUUGUUCAUUUUGCUUUAACUCAACAUCUCCAUGCUAAGGUGCAGUGCUGGCAUUGGUCUGUGUGUUAAUGAUGUUCUUCUUGUCUUCAGAGGUGAGAAUGUGGCCUCUCUCUGAGAUGCCCUUUGCCCCUGAGCUCCCCAGAGGGGAACAGCUUGCCUUGUAUUGAGUCCAGAUCCUGGGAACAGUUUUCAUUUAGGAAUGGCGCGUCCAUCGCGCAAGUCUAUAAUGCCACCUCGUGGCAGCAAGGAGAGAUCACAACGUGGGCUGAGCGAGUUGCUUCCUGCUUGGGGUUGGAAGCUGGACUGGCCGAGUUCCCUGGGUUUUUGAAUGAUGGGGAGUCACUGUCACUUCUUAUGGAUGAAGAAAGGAAGUGGUUUCUUGAGAUGGAAUCUACCUCUGGUGAAGAUGCUAUGAACAUUGUUGAAAUGACAACAAAAGAUUUAGGAUAUAACAUAAACUAAGUUGAUAAAGCAGUGGCUGGAUUUGAGAAGAUUGACACCAAUUUGAAAUCAGUUCUACUGUGGAUAAAAGGCUAUCAAAUAGCAUCACAUACUACAAAUAAAUUCUUCAUAAAAGGAAGAAUCAACUGACGAAGGAAACUUGUCUUAUUUUAAGAAGUUGCCACAGCCACUCCAGCCUUCAGCAACCACCGUCUUGAUUCGUCAGCAGCCAUCAACAUGGAGGUGAGCCAUUCCACCAACAAAAUGAUUAUGACUCACUGAGGCUCAGAUGGCUGCCAUCAUUUUUUAGUGAUAACGUGUUAUAAUUAGGGUAUGUACAUGUUUAAGACAUAAUGCACACUUAAUACACUGCAGUAUAGUAUAUAAUUAUUACAUGCAUAGGGCUGCUAAAACUUUGUGUAAUUUGCAUUAUUGUGGUAUUUGCUUUAUUGUGGCGGUUUGGAACCUACCCCACAAUAUCUCUGAGGUAUGUCUGUAUAUUGCUGGCGGGAAUGUAAAAUUGCACAGUAGCUUUGCAAAACAGUUUGGCAAUUCUUUAAAAAAUUCAAUAUAGAGUUAUACCAUAUGACCCACCAAUACUACUCAUUGGUAUAUACCCAUGAUAAGUUCAAGAAAACAUACAUAUAUUUAUACAUGUGUGCUGAUCGCAGCAUUAUUCAUAAUAGACAAAAGAUGGAAAAAAGACAAAUGUCUGUCAAUUGAUGAAUGAACAAAAUAGAUAUAUGCAAACACAUUAUUAUGAAUAUUAUACAGCCAAAAGAGGAAAUAAAGCCUGAUAAAUGCUACCUGAAACCAUCAAGAAUGAACUUUUUUUUUAAAUUAUCUUAUAGUUUAUUGAAAAUUAUUUAAACUGCUAAGGUAUUUUAAUAAGAGUACUGGUUGAAUUUAAAUCAAGAAUAAAAUAAAUAUCCAUCCUGUUGUAUGUUAGGUGUGUUUGCCCUGAAGGGCUUGUAGUCUUCAUUCUCAUGGCCCAAGACCAGAGUUUCUCUGCUAUCAGAAAUAUUGAUCUGCUGCAUAUAGAUUUUAUUUUAGUACAAAAUGGGUAUAUACAUCCAUAGUCUUACAUACAAUCCAAAUAUGUUUUCAAUGCAGCAACUAUAAUCAAUUAAAAGAAUUUUGCUUUCAGGA
Callithrix jacchus (white-tufted-ear marmoset) is the source of this 1688-nucleotide long non-coding RNA. NCBI's taxonomy places the organism in Eukaryota, Metazoa, Chordata, Mammalia, Primates, Cebidae. The record is from Ensembl.